RNAcentral lists this ribosomal RNA (484 nucleotides) under uncultured bacterium. RNAcentral describes it as "bacterial SSU rRNA". It matches the Rfam family "Bacterial small subunit ribosomal RNA", at positions 29 to 489 of the family's 1533-position model. The record is from RNAcentral.
AAUGAACGCUGGCGGCGUGCUUAACACAUGCAAGUCGAGCGAGGCGGAGGGGGGCAACUCCUUCCAGUCGAGCGGCGGACGGGUGAGUAACACGUGGGUAACCUGCCCGGAAGUGGGGAAUACCUCGGAGAAAUUCGAGCUAAUACCGCAUGACAUCUUCGGGACGAAAGUCCUGACGAUCAAAGCGGGGUCGCAAGAUCUCGCGCUACCGGAUGGGCCCGCGCCCGAUUAGCUAGNGGUGAGGUAACGGCUCACCAAGGCUUCGAUCGGUAACCGGCCUGAGAGGGCGAUCGGUCACACCGGAACUGAGACACGGUCCGGACUCCUACGGGAGGCAGCAGUGGGGAAUCUUGCGCAAUGGGCGAAAGCCUGACGCAGCAACGCCGCGUGGAGGAUGAAGGCCCUUGGGUUGUAAACUCCUGUCGGCUGGGAAGAAAUCGUUCGUGGCUCAUACCCACGGACGUUGACUGUACCAGCAAAGGAA